AUGAACGCUGGCGGCGUGCCUAAUACAUGCAAGUCGAGCGAACAGACGAGGAGCUUGCUCCUCUGACGUUAGCGGCGGACGGGUGAGUAACACGUGGAUAACCUACCUAUAAGACUGGGAUAACUUCGGGAAACCGGAGCUAAUACCGGAUAAUAUAUUGAACCGCAUGGUUCAAUAGUGAAAGACGGUUUUGCUGUCACUUAUAGAUGGAUCCGCGCCGCAUUAGCUAGUUGGUAAGGUAACGGCUUACCAAGGCAACGAUGCGUAGCCGACCUGAGAGGGUGAUCGGCCACACUGGAACUGAGACACGGUCCAGACUCCUACGGGAGGCAGCAGUAGGGAAUCUUCCGCAAUGGGCGAAAGCCUGACGGAGCAAUGCCGCGUGAGUGAUGAAGGUCUUCGGAUCGUAAAACUCUGUUAUUAGGGAAGAACAAAUGUGUAAGUAACUAUGCACGUCUUGACGGUACCUAAUCAGAAAGCCACGGCUAACUACGUG
This 496-nucleotide ribosomal RNA is filed under the name uncultured bacterium. RNAcentral describes it as "partial 16S ribosomal RNA". It matches the Rfam family "Bacterial small subunit ribosomal RNA", at positions 29 to 507 of the family's 1533-position model. The record is from RNAcentral.